AACAAUAUGUAUAAUAAUCUAUUACACAAAAAUAUUCAAAUGAUCAAAUUCUGAUUGACACAAACUAACUACAAAGGAAAGUGGAAAGUCCUACUGCGAAAAUUGUGGUACAUAUCAAGAAACCAUAACACCUGGUAAGCAUAUUCUGCUAAUUUGAAUGAGAACUUUCAUAUUAUAUUUACUCUUAAUGAGAGUGGUAUGUAAAAAUUGCUAAACUUAUUGGAUGGGAAGAUCUCAGAAGCACCAAGCAAACCAUUUAUGUUUACUGAGAUAGAGAAAUAAUGCUUGACAAAGAUCAGUAUAAGGCGGACAGUUAUUAGAUAAGGGUCAAAACUUAGCACUAUGAGAAACAUGUCAAAUUGUAAUUAUUCGAAACACAUUCAUACAUGCACUUUUGUGAGUUUUAUGUUGUUCUUGGAAACAACCCUUCUAUCCUACAGCCUUUUCAGUUGAAGAGAACAAAGAGAAAAGCUUCAGUGUUAUAGGCAUCUCCCACAACACAUGUGAAAAAACUAAAAUCUAUUGCAUAUCAAUUAACACAUAUGGGCCAAAGUCAGUGAAUACAUGCAAGCCUUCUUUCUUUGUCUUAAAUACACCAAUUAUUAAUAUAAGUUGCUAAUAUAUGGUAACAACAAAUAGAAAGAACACACCUUUUAUCCAACAAAUAUUGAACACUUUUUGCUAUAGGAAACUUCAUAUAAUUAUUACGGUUGUCUUGAAGAGACAAUAAUCAAAGUUGGGCAGAAUGUCAACUAAAAAAAUAGGUUCGAUUCCCUAAAACAACGCAAGGCACAUCAAUGGCAAGUGACAUAAGUUAUAUCCUAGAACACUAUGAAGAACAUGGCCGUCCAACCCGACGACACAGCUCUAGGCCAGCGCCACGAACUGGAGAGCAACGCCACUCAGUGAAACGAAUCUCUUAUUUUCUCCGGUGACCUCGAAGCCUUGCUGCUUGGGGGCAAAAAAUCCUUCUCUCCAACAGAAAAUUUCUACACCGGAAAAGACGGAGAAAGGUCAGGUGACCUUAAUCAUCCCCUUCUCAUAGCCAUAGCAAAUCUCCAUAAAGAAUCCAUGCCAUUGCUGGAGGUUAGCAGACCAAGAUCUGGGAAGGAAGGAGAAGGAGAGGAAGAUGAGUGAUUACCUAGAGGAGUGCCACCCCUCAUGUUCAAGUGGACCCAACUCCAUGGCCAUCCAAUCGAUGACGGCGGCGAGCUGCAGGCACGUGUGGUCGAGCUGGAUGACAUGCCGCCGCCGGGAGCCUGGAGCCACCGCACUCCACCCCAAAUCCCACUUCUCCCCUGUCCUCUUUUCUUAGCAAGAU
RNAcentral lists this long non-coding RNA (1321 nucleotides) under Triticum aestivum (bread wheat). RNAcentral describes it as "long non-coding RNA (TAES_LNC001037)". Lineage: Eukaryota; Viridiplantae; Streptophyta; Magnoliopsida; Poales; Poaceae. The record is from RNAcentral.